This 1460-nucleotide ribosomal RNA is filed under the name Salmonella enterica subsp. enterica. RNAcentral describes it as "bacterial SSU rRNA". It matches the Rfam family "Bacterial small subunit ribosomal RNA". Lineage: Bacteria; Pseudomonadati; Pseudomonadota; Gammaproteobacteria; Enterobacterales; Enterobacteriaceae. The record is from RNAcentral. RNAcentral also lists the same sequence under 1 other name.
UGCUGACGAGUGGCGGACGGGUGAGUAAUGUCUGGGAAACUGCCUGAUGGAGGGGGAUAACUACUGGAAACGGUGGCUAAUACCGCAUAACGUCGCAAGACCAAAGAGGGGGACCUUCGGGCCUCUUGCCAUCAGAUGUGCCCAGAUGGGAUUAGCUUGUUGGUGAGGUAACGGCUCACCAAGGCGACGAUCCCUAGCUGGUCUGAGAGGAUGACCAGCCACACUGGAACUGAGACACGGUCCAGACUCCUACGGGAGGCAGCAGUGGGGAAUAUUGCACAAUGGGCGCAAGCCUGAUGCAGCCAUGCCGCGUGUAUGAAGAAGGCCUUCGGGUUGUAAAGUACUUUCAGCGGGGAGGAAGGUGUUGUGGUUAAUAACCGCAGCAAUUGACGUUACCCGCAGAAGAAGCACCGGCUAACUCCGUGCCAGCAGCCGCGGUAAUACGGAGGGUGCAAGCGUUAAUCGGAAUUACUGGGCGUAAAGCGCACGCAGGCGGUCUGUCAAGUCGGAUGUGAAAUCCCCGGGCUCAACCUGGGAACUGCAUUCGAAACUGGCAGGCUUGAGUCUUGUAGAGGGGGGUAGAAUUCCAGGUGUAGCGGUGAAAUGCGUAGAGAUCUGGAGGAAUACCGGUGGCGAAGGCGGCCCCCUGGACAAAGACUGACGCUCAGGUGCGAAAGCGUGGGGAGCAAACAGGAUUAGAUACCCUGGUAGUCCACGCCGUAAACGAUGUCUACUUGGAGGUUGUGCCCUUGAGGCGUGGCUUCCGGAGCUAACGCGUUAAGUAGACCGCCUGGGGAGUACGGCCGCAAGGUUAAAACUCAAAUGAAUUGACGGGGGCCCGCACAAGCGGUGGAGCAUGUGGUUUAAUUCGAUGCAACGCGAAGAACCUUACCUGGUCUUGACAUCCACAGAAGAAUCCAGAGAUGGAUUUGUGCCUUCGGGAACUGUGAGACAGGUGCUGCAUGGCUGUCGUCAGCUCGUGUUGUGAAAUGUUGGGUUAAGUCCCGCAACGAGCGCAACCCUUAUCCUUUGUUGCCAGCGGUUAGGCCGGGAACUCAAAGGAGACUGCCAGUGAUAAACUGGAGGAAGGUGGGGAUGACGUCAAGUCAUCAUGGCCCUUACGACCAGGGCUACACACGUGCUACAAUGGCGCAUACAAAGAGAAGCGACCUCGCGAGAGCAAGCGGACCUCAUAAAGUGCGUCGUAGUCCGGAUUGGAGUCUGCAACUCGACUCCAUGAAGUCGGAAUCGCUAGUAAUCGUGGAUCAGAAUGCCACGGUGAAUACGUUCCCGGGCCUUGUACACACCGCCCGUCACACCAUGGGAGUGGGUUGCAAAAGAAGUAGGUAGCUUAACCUUCGGGAGGGCGCUUACCACUUUGUGAUUCAUGACUGGGGUGAAGUCGUAACAAGGUAACCGUAGGGGAACCUGCGGUUGGAUCACCUCCUUACCUUAAAGAA